Molecule: ribosomal RNA, 253 nt
Filed under: uncultured bacterium
Lineage: Bacteria
Description: partial 16S ribosomal RNA
Rfam family: Bacterial small subunit ribosomal RNA
Source: RNAcentral
UACGUAGGGUGCGAGCGUUGUCCGGAAUUAUUGGGCGUAAAGGGCUCGUAGGCGGUUUGUCGCGUCGGGAGUGAAAACCUUGGGCUUAACUCAGGGCUUGCUUUCGAUACGGGCAGACUAGAGUGCGGUAGGGGAGACUGGAAUUCCUGGUGUAGCGGUGAAAUGCGCAGAUAUCAGGAGGAACACCGGUGGCGAAGGCGGGUCUCUGGGCCGUAACUGACGCUGAGGAGCGAAAGCGUGGGGAGCGAACAGG